AGAGUUUGAUCCUGGCUCAGGACGAACGCUGGCGCGUGCUUAACACAUGCAAGUCGAGCGGAAAGGCCCUUCGGGGUACUCGAGCGGCGAACGGGUGAGUAACACGUGAGUAACCUGCCCUGGACUUUGGGAUAACCCUCGGAAACGGGGGCUAAUACCGGAUACGACACUCCACCGCAUGGUGUGUUUGUGGAAAGUUUUUCGGUCUGGGAUGGGCUCGCGGCCUAUCAGCUUGUUGGUGGGGUAAUGGCCUACCAAGGCGACGACGGGUAGCCGGCCUGAGAGGGCGACCGGCCACACUGGGACUGAGACACGGCCCAGACUCCUACGGGAGGCAGCAGUGGGGAAUAUUGCACAAUGGGCGGAAGCCUGAUGCAGCGACGCCGCGUGAGGGAUGACGGCCUUCGGGUUGUAAACCUCUUUCAGCAGGGACGAAGCGCAAGUGACGGUACCUGCAGAAGAAGCGCCGGCCAACUACGUGCCAGCAGCCGCGGUAAGACGUAGGGCGCGAGCGUUGUCCGGAUUUAUUGGGCGUAAAGAGCUCGUAGGCGGCUUGUCGCGUCGACCGUGAAAACUUGGGGCUCAACCCCAAGCCUGCGGUCGAUACGGGCAGGCUAGAGUUCGGUAGGGGAGACUGGAAUUCCUGGUGUAGCGGUGAAAUGCGCAGAUAUCAGGAGGAACACCGAUGGCGAAGGCAGGUCUCUGGGCCGAUACUGACGCUGAGGAGCGAAAGCGUGGGGAGCGAACAGGAUUAGAUACCCUAGUAGUCC
This 770-nucleotide ribosomal RNA is filed under the name uncultured bacterium. Its description in RNAcentral is "bacterial SSU rRNA". It matches the Rfam family "Bacterial small subunit ribosomal RNA", at positions 8 to 796 of the family's 1533-position model. The record is from RNAcentral.